CGGUCAUCCUUGGGAGGGGGCCCCGGGUGCCCCCGUGUUCAAUGGCAGGAGGAUCCCGGGGCUCUCCCUGUCCCUAAGGCCGGCGCGGGCUGCGGGAGCACUCACCAAUUUGGAACUUUCAGAGCCUACUGGGAGAGACAGACCAUUAAAGAACUGCACUGCACUACAACAGAUGUGAACAGGAAGCCUUUGAAGCACAUGAAAGAGCAUUUGCUCCAGUUAAUGUAAACAGUCGUUUAAAACAAGCAAAAACUUUUCCUUCAGGCUUCAGGGUCAUUGGCCUGGCAGAAACUGACACAGGAAAGGAGCCACUGCUCUCAGUAAGGAUGCUUUGUCCACUGAUUAUGAACCAAGCACCUCACCAAUUGUGGCCCUACAGCUGAUCUCUCUGCAUCUAUAACCCUUUAUUUUUACCGUCCUGGGUCACACAAAUAGGUUGGUGGAUGGAACAUCUCUGAUGCCGAAGAAGGAAAGAGGCUACCAUCAUCAAUUGGGAUAUCAAAAAUUAAA
Long non-coding RNA from Rhinopithecus roxellana (golden snub-nosed monkey), 510 nucleotides. RefSeq lists it as uncharacterized. NCBI's taxonomy places the organism in Eukaryota, Metazoa, Chordata, Mammalia, Primates, Cercopithecidae. The transcript is spliced from 3 exons. The record is from RefSeq and is a predicted model, not a curated record.